UACGUAGGGGGCAAGCGUUGUCCGGAAUCAUUGGGCGUAAAGCGCGUGUAGGCGGUUCGGUAAGUCUGCUGUGAAAGUCCAGGGCUCAACCCUGGGAUGCCGGUGGAUACUGUCGGGCUAGAGUGCGGAAGAGGCGAGUGGAAUUCCCGGUGUAGCGGUGAAAUGCGCAGAUAUCGGGAGGAACACCAAUUGCGAAGGCAGCUCGCUGGGACGUAACUGACGCUGAGACGCGAAAGCGUGGGGAGCAAACGGG
Molecule: ribosomal RNA, 253 nt
Filed under: uncultured bacterium
Lineage: Bacteria
Description: partial 16S ribosomal RNA
Rfam family: Bacterial small subunit ribosomal RNA
Source: RNAcentral